RNAcentral lists this unclassified non-coding RNA (747 nucleotides) under Hevea brasiliensis (rubber tree). Lineage: Eukaryota; Viridiplantae; Streptophyta; Magnoliopsida; Malpighiales; Euphorbiaceae. The record is from RNAcentral.
GUUUAUGAAUGUUAUUCUUAGAACGUGUGACCAUGGGAUGAGUAUUGUGAGGUGUGCAAGAAGGAAUAGAAGAUGAAGAAGGAGGGUUAAGGAGAGCAGUAGUGGUUAGUUCGGGUACGGAAGGUUCAGUGGAAGGAGGGGUGAUUGGUUGAAAGGAGGGGUGAUUGGUUGAGAGGAGGGAGAUGAAGUAGACUAAAACGGAAUGAGAGUAUGAGGAGGAUCAGUAGAUGGAAGAUCAUACCAACUUGAAAUAAAUUGGGACGCUGGAGGUGUUUGGGUUUGAUAAGGAAAAGUAUUUUCUAGAAAAAGUACAUAACGUGACACUGUAUAUUUGUGGGAUUUGAAGUCAUAACAAAUAUAGGCACUUUGAUGAAGGGAGUAACCAAGAAAGAUGCAAGUUACAGAUUUAACAUCAAAGUUAGAUUUCAUGUAAGGACAUAGACAAGGGUAGCAGAGGCAUCCAAAUACCCGUAGGGAUUGAUAAUUGGGAGAUCGAUUAAAGAGCUUUUGAUAGGGGGAAGAGAGCUAGAGAAUUGGUGUGGGAAGAUGAUUAAUAAGGUAAGCUAUUGUUUGAAAGGCAAAAGACCAAAAAGAGGGAGGAAGAGAGGCAAUUUGCAGCAACGUUAGAACAGUUUCAAUUAGGUGUCGACGACGAUGUUCAGCAGCCCCAUUGUGCUUCGAUGUGUGAGGAGGUGUUUGAAGGUGAUUUAUACCACAAGACUGAAAGUAUUUUUUGAGAGCAAUAUA